This 978-nucleotide long non-coding RNA is filed under the name Chelonus insularis. Its description in RNAcentral is "uncharacterized LOC118067198, transcript variant X1". The record is from RNAcentral. Lineage: Eukaryota; Metazoa; Arthropoda; Insecta; Hymenoptera; Braconidae.
CAGAUGUUGGAACACGCCCUCAACUUCAUUUGGCUUUUUUUAUAUAAAGUUCCAUAUAUAUAUGAAUGCAAAAUAUCUUUUGUAUAUUGUGUAUACGUACGUGUGCGCAACGUAACCUGUUCACGCACGUGUACAUGAGUCUGGAGAGUGGUUUGUAGCAUCUAAAAAAGCCCAUACGAUAAUAAGCCAAAGGUACGAACGAAGACAGUGAUAAAGGAAAAAAUAUGGAACCAAAGAGAUCCGGAUUCUUGAUACGACCUCUGUACUACGUAAUAAUGUCUGAAGGUGAAUUAGGAGAGAAAAAAUCAUCCAUCAUGGUUCGAGAUACACAUGAGGCCAUUGGAUUUUGAUGGACGGAUGAUGUUUUAGACUGAAGCUUUCUAUGGGUUCCAACAUCAUAGAAUUGAUGAACGUCUUUGCCUAAUUUAUUAUACCCAAAAUUGGAAGCAAAUUAUUUAUUUGGUGCUGAAUGAGACCCAAUUAUGGCUUGUUGAUGAUUACCAUUACUCCUGUAUGAGAAUAAUAAUUAUAAAAAUAGUUUCUCCAUCACAUGUUGAUGGUGCAUCCUGUCUCAUAUUCACUGAUGACACAGACUACAUAAUACCUCUUGGACUUAUCUACAAUGCAGAUACUUUUGAUGACAUACAAAGACGACGAGAUGUUAAGGACAGUGGAGAGAGAAAGGAUGAAGGACUAUAUAGAAGAUGAGGGGGUUAAGUUAGGGGUUAGAUAGGAUAGGGUGUGUCGUCAUGACUACGCAGCAGGAGGCGGAGCAAUCGAUAUACUCUCGCGGCUCACACACUGAGAGGUCUGAUGAAUGCAAUACGUUGAUAAAGGGAUAAAACAAUGAUAGACACUGUACUGCGACAAUGUGGCGUUUGUUUACUCACUUAACUCUAAAUUGAUAGCUCAUUACAUCAAUUAUUAUAUUGAUAACCAUUUAAUAUUUUCUUUAAUUCACAUUUUUCAUUAAAUUUA